RNAcentral lists this ribosomal RNA (1691 nucleotides) under human gut metagenome. RNAcentral describes it as "bacterial LSU rRNA". It matches the Rfam family "Bacterial large subunit ribosomal RNA", at positions 1218 to 2925 of the family's 2925-position model. The record is from RNAcentral.
GCAAUGAUUGGUAGGGGAGCAUUCCAUUCGGCGUUGAAGGCGUGGCGUGAGCCAUUCUGGAGCGUAUGGAAAAGCAAAUGUAGGUAUAAGUAACGAUAAAGGGGGUGAGAAACCCCCUCGCCGAAAGACUAAGGUUUCCUGAUCAACGCUAAUCGGAUCAGGGUAAGUCGGGUCCUAAGGUUCAGCCGAACGGCGAGACCGAUGGCAGAAACGGUUAAUAUUCCGUUACUACCUUUGAGGGUGACGUGGGGACGCAGUAGUGACACCGCCGCCGGCUGACGGAAUAGCCGGUUAAAGAGUGUAGACGUCGAUUUCCGCAGGCAAAUCCACGGAAAGAGUCGAACUUGACAGUAUGGAACGUCCUUCGGGACAAUCCAAUAGUGCGGGUAAGCAGACUGCCUAGAAAAUCCGCUAAACAUAACUUCAGAGGUACCCGUACCGCAAACGGACACACGUAGUCGGGUUGAAUAUACUAAGGCGCUUGAGUGAAUCACGGUUAAGGAACUAGGCAAACUGACCCUGUAACUUCGGGAUAAAGGGUCCCUACCCAGAAAUGGGAGGGCGCAGAGAAUAGGUCCAGGCAACUGUUUAACAAAAACACAGGGCUGUGCCAAUAUGAAAGUAGACGUAUACAGCCUGACACCUGCCCGGUGCUGGAAGGUUAAGAGGAGAUGUCAUCGCAAGAGAAGCAUUGAAUUGAAGCCCCAGUAAACGGCGGCCGUAACUAUAACGGUCCUAAGGUAGCGAAAUUCCUUGUCGGGUAAGUUCCGACCUGCACGAAUGGUGUAAUGAUUUGAGCGCUGUCUUGACGGGAGGCCUGGUGAAAUUGUAUUACCGGUGAAGAUACCGGUUACCUACAGUAGGACGGAAAGACCCCAUGGAGCUUUACUGUAGCUUGGUAUUGGGUUUUGGCAUUGCAUGUAUAGGAUAGUUGGGAAACUAUGAUGGUAUGGCGCUAGCUAUAUCGGAGUUGUCGGUGGAAUACCAACCAUUCAAUGUUGAAAUUCUAAUCUGUGGUUUGGAGCCACGGAGACAGUGCUAGGUGGGCAGUUUGACUGGGGCGGUCGCCUCCGAAAGAGUAACGGAGGCGUUCAAAGGUUCUCUCAGGUUGGAUGGAAAUCAACCGCAGAGUGCAAUGGCAUAAGAGAGCUUGACUGCGAGACUGACGGGUCGAGCAGGUGCGAAAGCAGGACAUAGUGAUCCGGCGAUUCCGAAUGGAAGGAUCGUCGCUCAACGGAUAAAAGCUACCCUGGGGAUAACAGGCUGAUCCUACCCGAGAGUCCAUAUCGACGGUAGGGUUUGGCACCUCGAUGUCGGCUCAUCGCAUCCUGGGGCUGGAGAAGGUCCCAAGGGUUGGGCUGUUCGCCCAUUAAAGCGGUACGUGAGCUGGGUUCAGAACGUCGUGAGACAGUUCGGUCCCUAUCCACUGUAGGCGUUAGAAUAUUGAGAAGAUCUGUCCUUAGUACGAGAGGACCGGGAUGGACAAACCUCUGAUGUACCAGUUGUCACGCCAGUGGCACAGCUGGGUAGUCACGUUUGGAACGGAUAACCGCUGAAAGCAUCUAAGCGGGAAACCAGCUUCAAGAUAAGUAUUCUUUAAGACUCCUUCGAGACUAGGAGGUUGAUAGGUUGGGGGUGUAAGAGUUGUGAGACUUUUAGCUGACCAAUACUAAUAAGUCGAAGUUUUAACC